CGCUCUCUGAAGGGUCCGGGGCUCCUCAGCUCCGCCCGGGCUCCGGCCACGCCUCGGAGUGUUCCCGCGGGCUGAGCGGGGCAGCGGGACGCGCUGAGGUGUCCUCAGGGCCCCAAGCCUCCGGCAGGCUCUUUCUCAGCCGGUGGCAGCCCGUGGGAAGCGAGGGGUCCCUGCAGCCGCUCCCUCAGCCGCUCUUGGGCGAGGGGCACGGGCUCCGCCAUGGGCGUCCGGGCGCUCGUCACUGGGGAGCGGAAACGUUAAGGGGAAAAAAAAAAAAUAUAGGGCAUACCUGAAGUUCGCUGGCCCUUUGGUACAAAUCCAGUGUGUCCAUCGUCAUUUUGCGGACUUCAAUGUGCAGUAUGUGCAUGAGGAAGUUUAUUGCUGCGAAAAUGGCAUGUAUUGAUGUCAGCACAGCUGAUUAAUCACAACUCUUCUCUGAGAGUUUAAUUUCCCAGACCAGCUCCCAUCUCCAGCAUGCUCAUAUUCCUGAGACUGGCACAGGUUUUUCUCCUAAGUGUGAUCUGCACAUUUUGAUGGAAAUCUGCAGCUGAUUUAUCUCCGCUUUGCUGAAGCGAAGGUGUGUGGUGUUUAACAUGGUUGACCACCAGCUACUUUUUAGUCUCCUCUUCAACACUGCUAUUAAAACUUAACUCUCAUGUGCAGAGCUUUCUCAGUGUUUCAUUGAAGUACAGAAGACUGUUGAAGAACUCUGUGAUAAACACAGACUUUCUUAUCCAAUAUCCUGUUUUCAAAUGGGGCUUGACUGCUAGCUCUGCAGAAAUGAAUUAGCAGGGCAGACAACACAGGAAGAAUAGUGAAAUCUCCUUGGAUAUAUCUUUCUCUGUUGACCUAUAACAUGGUUCAUUUUAUCUGCUUUUUCAAAAUUCGUGCUGCUUGCUGAUUUGCACGAAAAGUCCAAUAAUGGCAGAGUGUUCACUUCUGUUAGAAAUCUGUGAAGAAAUACAGGAAAUACAAUAAUCAGAUGUAUUUCUCACAGGUCAAUGAAGAGCUACAAUGUCAUGUGCAGGUAAUAUUUGCACAGGAAUGACCUGGAGAAUGUGAACUAGCAGUCUGGCACAGUUAUACUCUGUUUCCACUAAUAACCACGGGAAGCAGCCCCUGUCAUGGUGUAAUGAUGUACUGCAUGCAGUGCUUAGAAUAUUAGAUCUUUAAUAUGGCGAAUGUGUCACUUUACAGAUGGCUUCACUGAAUUCAAUUCAGGUGUUCUUCAGUGAAUAAAGUUUUUUUCAUCUUGCCCU
This is a non-coding RNA of Cyanistes caeruleus (blue tit), 1259 nucleotides long. The record is from RefSeq and is a predicted model, not a curated record. NCBI's taxonomy places the organism in Eukaryota, Metazoa, Chordata, Aves, Passeriformes, Paridae.